GACGAACGCUGGCGGCGUGCUUAACACAUGCAAGUCGAGCGAGAUCCAUCCAGUGGCAACACUGGUGAAGAUCUAGCGGCGAACGGGUGAGUAACACGUGAGCAACCUGCCCCGAAGACCGGGAUAACAGCGGGAAACCGCUGCUAAUACCGGAUGCCCUCACCGGGCCGCAUGACCUGGUGAGGAAAUGGCUGAGUCUUAGUAAACUCAGUCCGCUUCAGGAGGGGCUCGCGGGCUAUCAGCUUGUUGGUGAGGUAACGGCUCACCAAGGCUACGA
This 277-nucleotide ribosomal RNA is filed under the name uncultured bacterium. RNAcentral describes it as "partial 16S ribosomal RNA". It matches the Rfam family "Bacterial small subunit ribosomal RNA", at positions 28 to 279 of the family's 1533-position model. The record is from RNAcentral.